AAGUACAUAACACCUCUUUAAGUCAAGGCUGUUUGUUAAAUGUACAUGUGUUUGAGCCUACUAUAGUAUUCUCAGAGUAAGGUUAUGCAUGCAGAUUUCUGUGGCCCAAAUUUAUUUUCACCAGCAGUGUUGUUGUGAUUGCUCAAAACAUUUUAUAGAACUCUCAUAACUGAAAAAAAUAGUUUUCGCCUUCUCUUUCUAAAAGCAUAUUUUCUACCUAUUUAUCUCUCACUCAGCCACAAUUACCUGGGAAAUGACUUUUAGUGCUUACAAUGAUAAAAAAAAAAUCAGAUACACUUUCAAAGGAGAGAAUUGCCACACUGAUACUGAGAAUCAUGUGCCUUUAUAUUAAUUGAAAGCCAGUCCCAAAAAAUUCUGAAGGGAUUUUUAUCAACAGCUGUAUAGCUAGAGAACCUUCCCAUUUUAGGAGACUAUUAUAAAGGAGAUAGAUACUAUAUAUAUUAUGCUGUUUAAAAUAUAAUUGCAUUCCUUUAUAACCACAAUCUAUACCCCAUUCUUUUUAGUCAUUAAAUUCCUACAAUUUGUUAUUAGACCUCAUCAAUCUUAAAAAUAAGAUUUUGAGGCAGUUUGAUCUUUGAAUGUAAGAGUAAGAACAAACUAUGUUCAUAAAGAUAUUUUAGAAUUUAAUUCAAUUUAUUUUUCUGGAGUGGAAGUAAUAGCAAUCCUCGAGAUGAUAGGACUUGACAGCCCCAAUGUUCAGACCCCUCUUUUAGGUUUCUCAGGUCAAAACACAGAUUGUUGAAGGAGCUUAUAAGGAUGCCAGUUUCUCUAUUUCUCCCACUUAACUGUGGAAUCCAGAUUUUCAUAAGGGGGAUCCACAAGGCAGUUUUGCAAAUACUAACUACAAUGUAAAACUCGAAGCACUCUUCCUAACUCAGAUUUCAUUUCAACCCCAGGGGAUUUUUCUAAUGAGAAUUUUUAUUUCUAACUAGCUGCUUAUUCAGGAGAAUCAUUAUCCAUUUAUAAAUUAAUUUCUUCUUGUACACACUGCAAGCUACUUAAGAGUUUCCAUGUGAAAGAAAGACUAAAUUUCGAUCAGCUCCUGAAAUUGCAUUUAUUUGUCCUUGAAACUUUCAAUUUGGGUCUUGUAUUUUAAACUUUUGUGCCCAUGGUAUUUUAAAAUGUAUGACAGCUUUCUCGCAAUUGGCUGUCAGUUGACCCCUCACUGAUCCUGUUACAGUUGCUCUGAAGGGGUUUUUAACCUGUCUUUGAGCUGCUGCCAGAAUCCUGCAAAGAAAAUUCACAUAAAUCCCACUGCCUAUAUUUUAUCACAGCAUCCCAGAUCUACCCUUCAAAUUGCUAUUUUCUUAAGCCAUUUUCUCAUGAUGCAGUUAUAGAUUGAAUCUUAAUUAUAUUUUACAAAGCUUAAUCUGCCAAUACUGGAUAGGUGCCUAGGAAAUGUGGCUUUUUAAAUUGAUGGUUUUUGUAAUCUUUAAUCUGCAAAUUUCACAUUUUCAAGUCAAAGUAUAAGAAAAAUAUAAUGAACACGUGUGUGUGUAUGUAUAUACAGUGGACCUCACUAUUUGUGGAUUCCACAUUUCCAAAUUUGCCUACUCACCAAAGUUUAUUUCUAAUCCUAAAAUCAAUUGGCAGCAUUGUCACGCUCCUUGGUGGACAUUUGCAGAGCAUCAAAGAUUUGCAUCAUCCAACACACGUUCCCAGCUCGGGUUGAACCAGGAAGCUCCAUCCAGAAAUAAUCCGUGAAUGAAAACACCUAAAUAUAAAAGAAACACAUUAAUAUAACACUUGAAAUAUGCAUUUUGAUUGAGUUCUGAAUCUGAAAUUUCUACAUGAAGGACACAAGAAGAAGCAGGUCAAGAAGAAAUACAUAAUCAUGCUGAAUGUUUCUUAAACAGCCUAGCCAGGUAACACUACAUUGAAGACCACAGUCAACAAUCACCGGUAUUCUUAUUGUGUUCAUUCAACAUGAUAAUGCCGCAUUCUUAAACAUAAGUAGACAACCCCAAAUUAUCAGAUACCAGAAAAGGCUUCUAACAUGUAAAGUUUUUCACUUAUGCAUUCAACUUCUAAACACAAAAAAGAUUAUUCUGAUUUUUUGUUUCUUCUUGUAUCUGUUUGGUAACAUAUGUUUUCCCAAGAAUUUGUCUAUUUCAUUUACAUUUUAAAAUGUAUUUACAUUUUAAAUGUAUUGGCAUAGGUUUGAGAAGGGAGGCAGAGCAAGAUGGCCAAUAGAAGCCUCCACAAAUCGUCCUCCCUGCAGGAACACCAAAUUUAACAACUAUCUACACAAAAAAGCAACUUCAUAAGAACCAAAAAUCAGGUGAAUGACCACAGUACCCAGUUUUAACUUUAAUCACUGAAAGAGGCACUGAAGAGGGCAGGAAAGACAGUCUUGAAUUGCUGAUGCCAACCCUCCUCCAUCACCCGGCAGUGGCAGUGUGGCACUGAGAAUCUGUCGCUUGUAGGAGGGAGAGCACAAUGAUUGAGACUGUACUGGAACUCAGUGCUUUCCUGUCACAGAAGACAGCAACACCAGGAAGAGCUCAGCUGAUGCCUGUGAAAGAAGCAUUUAGACCAACCCUAACUACAGGGGAAGCACACAUCCCAGCAGUUGGAACAGGAGUUUCAGCAAGCCUUGCCACCACCAGCUAAAGUGCUCUGGGGUUCUAAAUAAAUUUGAAAGGCAGUCUAGGCCACAGGAACGACAAUUCCUAGGCAAGGCCUAGUCCUGUGCUAGACUUGGAGCUAGUGGCUUGCGGGGGGCAUGCCAUCUAGUGAGACACCUGCCAGGGUGGUUAAUAGAGUGCUUGCACCACCCCUCCCCCAAUCCCAGGCAGCAUAGCUUGCAGCUCCAGGAGAGACUACUUCCUUACUGCUUGAGGAGAGGAGAGGGAAGAGUAAAGAGGACUUUGUCUUGCAACUUGGGGGCCAGUUCAGCCACAGUAGGAUGGGGCACCGGGAACAGUCCUGGGGUCCACAUUCUAAGCCCUGGCUCCUGGACAAUAUUUCUAGACACAUAUUUGGUCAUAAAGGAACCUGCACUCUUGAAGGGAAGUGCCCACUCCUGGUGGGAUUCAUCACCUGCUGACUAAGGAGCUCUUGGCCCUGAAUAAUAAGCAGCAGUAGCCAGGUAGUACACACCAUGGGCCUUGAGUGAGACUCAGUGCCAUGCAGGCUUCAGGUGUGACCCUGCACGUUUCCACCUUGGUGGCUACCAGGAGAGAUUCCUUUUUGAGGAAAGCACAGGGAAGAGUAAAGGGGGCUUUGACUUGCAGCUUAGGUACCAGCUUGACUGCUACAGUGGGGUAUGCACCAAGAGGUCUCCUAGGGUCCCCAAUUCCAGGCCUUGGCUCCUGGAUGGCAUUUCUGGAAAGGAGUUCAAGACUAGCCUGGGCAACAUGG
Molecule: long non-coding RNA, 3384 nt
Filed under: Homo sapiens (human)
Lineage: Eukaryota; Metazoa; Chordata; Mammalia; Primates; Hominidae
Description: HSALNT0308082
Source: RNAcentral